RNAcentral lists this ribosomal RNA (253 nucleotides) under uncultured bacterium. RNAcentral describes it as "partial 16S ribosomal RNA". It matches the Rfam family "Bacterial small subunit ribosomal RNA", at positions 524 to 776 of the family's 1533-position model. The record is from RNAcentral.
UACGUAGGUGGCAAGCGUUGUCCGGAUUUACUGGGCGUAAAGAGCGCGCAGGCGGUCGUUCAAGUCGAGUGUGAAAGCCCCCGGCUCAACUGGGGAGGGUCACUCGAUACUGAUCGACUCGAAGGCAGAAGAGGGAAGCGGAAUUCCCGGUGUAGUGGUGAAAUACGUAGAUAUCAGGAGGAAUACCGGAGGCGAAGGCGGAUAGCUGGGCCAACAUUGACGCUGAGACCCGAAAGCGUGGGGAUCAAACAGG